GGUGAGGUGGCUGAGUGGCCGAAAGCGUCGGAUUACUAAUCCGAAGAACGUGAAAGCGUUCCCUGGGUUCGAAUCCCAGUCUCACUGCCA
This 90-nucleotide transfer RNA is filed under the name Paracoccaceae bacterium. RNAcentral describes it as "Rhodobacteraceae bacterium (marine metagenome) tRNA-Ser". It matches the Rfam family "tRNA". Rfam says of the family: Transfer RNA (tRNA) molecules are approximately 80 nucleotides in length. Their secondary structure includes four short double-helical elements and three loops (D, anti-codon, and T loops). RNAcentral also lists the same sequence under 1 other name. The record is from RNAcentral. Lineage: Bacteria; Pseudomonadati; Pseudomonadota; Alphaproteobacteria; Rhodobacterales; Paracoccaceae.